This 501-nucleotide ribosomal RNA is filed under the name uncultured bacterium. RNAcentral's name for it is "partial 16S ribosomal RNA". It matches the Rfam family "Bacterial small subunit ribosomal RNA", at positions 30 to 523 of the family's 1533-position model. The record is from RNAcentral.
AUUGAACGCUGGCGGCAGGCUUAACACAUGCAAGUCGAGCGGAGAUGAGGUGCUUGCACCUUAUCUUAGCGGCGGACGGGUGAGUAAUGCUUAGGAAUCUGCCUAUUAGUGGGGGACAACAUUCCGAAAGGAAUGCUAAUACCGCAUACGUCCUACGGGAGAAAGCAGGGGAUCUUCGGACCUUGCGCUAAUAGAUGGGCCUAAGUCGGAUUAGCUAGUUGGUGGGGUAAAGGCCUACCAAGGCGGCGAUCUGUAGCGGGUCUGAGAGGAUGAUCCGCCACACUGGGACUGAGACACGGCCCAGACUCCUACGGGAGGCAGCAGUGGGGAAUAUUGGACAAUGGGGGGAACCCUGAUACAGCCAUGCCGCGUGUGUGAAGAAGGCCUUAUGGUUGUAAAGCACUUUAAGCGAGGAGGAGGCUACUGAGACUAAUACUCUUGGAUAGUGGACGUUACUCGCAGAAUAAGCACCGGCUAACUCUGUGCCAGCCGCCGCCGUAA